This is a long non-coding RNA of Mirounga angustirostris (Northern elephant seal), 4521 nucleotides long. RefSeq lists it as uncharacterized. The transcript is spliced from 4 exons. The record is from RefSeq and is a predicted model, not a curated record. Lineage: Eukaryota; Metazoa; Chordata; Mammalia; Carnivora; Phocidae.
AUUUCAUCAUCAUAUCCGUAUGUAUAGGUCUCCUACAUCCUUUUAAUAAGAUGAACAGAGGGUUCUUGUUUUGGGGGUUUUCUGCUUUUUGUUAGUUAAGUUUGUAUCUGUCUACUGUGUAUAUCUCCUCUAUCUUUCUAAAAAUGCAGCACUAAUUUACUUUUUCUGGGUGAUGCACUUUAGGAUUUUCCUGGGAAGAAUGGGACACCUCAAGGAGGACCUAUGUAGACAAGAACAAUUUAUUUGUGAAACAGUUAAAUUAUUGAGAGAGCUCACAUCUGCCUUCUAACUCCAUCUGGAGAACACAUUGGUUGUAAUUAUCAGUCUUUUCUUCGCUUCCACUAACAUGGCUCUUUGACAUCAUUAUGUUACUUGGUUCUUCCAACGAAAUGGAAAGGAGGAGACUGUACUAUAAUUUUUAGAUCUCUGAGUGGUUACUCAGAGACCAGAAGGCAGACACAUGUGUUCUAUUCCAGGCUCUUAGAAAUGGUAGAAAACACACAUACACUCCGACAAGGGUAGGAAUCCUGGAAGGAUGGAAAGCAAUCAGACCAGAGAAGGAAACACAAUCUGAAAUGCUCCCAGGGUAGUUUUGUGAAGGGUUGGAAGGAGGUUCCGUGGAGAGGGGGAUUUGGAGGCAGUGCACAUACCCCAUAGCGCUCUGGCGGGGGUGGCCGCUCUGGGGGUGAGGGCCUUACCGAAGCGGCCUCUUGACCAGGCUCAGGAGGCUUUGGACUUGGCUGGGCCUGCACGGUACAAAGUGAGCAGAGACUUGGCAUCAUUUUGUUCAUUUGAACACUGCAUCAGUAAAGUAUGUAACCGAUGAUUCAUCGUGACUUGUUUCUUUGAUUUCUUUUUUUUUUUUUUUGCUUUAAAAAUUAGGUAUGGCAUGAUUUAUAUGCAAUAAGAUGGACCAAUUUGAAGUGCACAAUGCGAUACGUUCUGACAAAUGUAUACAGUGUGUAUCCACCACUGCAAUCACGACCUCUGAUGACAAACGCUUCUGCGGACAGCCCGGCAGUUCCACUCCUGGGGGCUCAGAGAGAAAGAAGUGUGCCUUGUUCCUGAGUUCCGAGGGAAAGACUGAGUCUCUGGCCAUGAAGUACGACGGCGAGCUUUCGUCCUGAGCGGACGCUGAAUUCCCUCAUGGGCUCUUUCUGAAUCUAGUGAAAUGAGCAUGUGUUCCUCGUUUUGAGUUUGUUAAUACGGUGAAUUACAUCAUGGUCUCGAAUAUCCUACCAGUUCUGGGAUGAAUUCUACUCAGUCAUAGGGGGAGAGAGAGAGACGCAGAGGCAGAGAGAAGCAGGCUCCCCGCCGAGCAGCAGGGAGCCCGAUGCGGGACUUGAUCCCAGGACCCCAGGAUCACGACCCGAGCCGAAAGCAGACGCUUAACCAUCUGAGCCACCCAGGCGCCCCAAUGCCAAGACCUGCGGUGUGGUGUUGAAUGGGGGGAUGAAAGUGCACGUCCUUGCCCUGUUCCCAGUCUUGGAGGGGCGCAGCCGGUCUGCGGCCGUCAGGUGGGGACGUCCGUUGUGGGUUCCCGCAAGUGCCCUGUAUCAGUCUGAGGAUGUUUGCUUCUCAGUUUGCCAGGGUAUGUAUUGUGAACGAUUAUUUUAUUCUGUCAGUUUUUUCCUGCAUCUGUUGAGAUAACCACUGUGGCUUUUCUCCUUUAUUCUGUUAACGUGGAAUUUCCAGAUUGAUUGUCGAAUGUUAAAUUAACUUUGCAUUCCUGAAGCAAGCCCCACUUGGUCAUGCUGUAUUAUCCUUUCAAAAUGUUGCUGGAUUCAACUGGCUAAUACUUUGUUCAGGCAUUUUGCAUCUAUGUUCAUGAGGGGAACCAAUGUGUACUUUUAUUUUCCUGUAAGAUCUUUUGUCCGGGUUUAGUACAGCAUCAUGCUGGUCUCCUAAAUGGGUCAGGAAGUGCUCCCUAUCCUUCUGAAAGACUUCUGUGGGAUUCUAGUAUUCCAUCCUAAAGAGUUUUUGUUAGAAUUCACUAAUGAAACCCACAGGGCCCGCGAUUUCCUGUGCGGGAAGGUUUUUGACCAAAGUCAAUUUCCUUAAUAGAUGUAGGACUAUUAAGAUUUUCUAUUUCUUCUUGCAUUGGCUUCAGCUUCAUACAGUUGUUUCUCAAGGACUUUGUACAUUUCACCAAAUUUAUUGCCAUAAAGUUGUUCACCUACUGUUUUUUUUUUUAAAGAUUUUAUUUAUUUAUUUGAGAGAGAAUGAGAGAGAGAGAGCACAUGAGAAGGGGGAGGGUCAGAGGGUGAAGCAGACUCCCCGCCGAGCAGGGAGCGCGAUGCGGGACUCGAUCCCGGGACUCCAGGAUCAUGACCUGAGCCGAAGGCAGUUGCUUAACCAACUGAGCCACCCAGGCACCCUCACCUACUGUUUUGAUGAGAUUUCAGCCUGCCUUUCGUUCCUGACACUGGUGAUUUGUGUGUGCUCCUUUUCUCGAUUGGUUUUACAAGAGUUUACCAAUUACUUUACAGAACCAACUUUUGGUUUUGUUGAUUGCUUUCCAUUUCAUUGAUUUUGGUCUUAUCUUUGUUAUUUCCCUCCUUUACAUAUUUUGGAUUAAAUAUGCUUUUAUCUUUUCUUAUAUUCUUAUGAUGGAAGUUUAAUUUUAAAUCUUUCUUCUAAUAGAGGUGUUUAAAGUGAUAACUUUUCUUCUAAACACUGCUUUAACUGCAUCCCACGAAUUUUGUACUUUUUUAAUUUCUUGUGUAAUAUUUUUAUUUGACCCAUAGGUUAUUUGGAAGUAAUGUUUAAUUUCCAACAUAAUUUUAAUUUGGGGAUUUUAAGGGCAUUGUUGCUGUUGAUUUCUUAUUGAAGUUUGGUGUGGUCUGAGAACAUAUUCUGUAAGAUUUAAAUCUUUUCACACUUAUUUUAUGGUCCAGCAUAUGAUCUAGCUUGAUGAACAUUCUAUGUACACUUGAAAAGGGGUAUCCUGCUGUUGUGGGGUGUAGUGUUCUGUAACGUCAGGUCACUCUGGUGGAUGGUGUUGAACCUUCUAUGUCGUCGCUGAGUUUUUGUUUACUGGUUCUCUCACUUACCGAGAGAAGGGUGUGAAAAUCUCCUGACUCCUAGUGUGGAUCUGUUGUUUUCUCCUAUAGUUCCACCACGUCUGCUUCAUGUGUCUUGAAGCUCUAUUAAGUGCAUAUAUAUAUGGGAUUAUUAUGUCUUAUGGAUUAAUAACAGUAUCACAAGGAACAGAAUUGUCUUUUUGGCAUUAUGCACACCUGAGUUGGAGUCUGUUUCGUCUGACGCGAAUAGCCAUACCACAACUGUGCUGUCUGCCCGGUGUGCUUGUUCCAGCUUUCACGGCGCCCCCCCAACCCUCCGCCCCAGGUUGGUGUAUUUAAAGCGCAUCUCUUGUAGAUGAUGUGUGUGUUGGUCUAUGUCUUCUUCCAAGGACACCUGUCAUUGCAUUUAGGGCCUGCCCAAAGCCAGGAUGACCUCAUCUUGGGAUCUCCAGGGGAUAGGGGACAGGACACAGGACACAGCCACAGGGCACAGGACAUGGACUGGCCUUUCUGGGCCACUGCAGCUGCGGUCACGUGUUUAUAAGCUCUGAGUAUUUUCACGAGCGCCCAGCAAAGCAGCCUGGCUGGAGUAUUCUCUGGGCCGUUCCAGGGCCCAGCAGUGGAGUGCCCUUCUUAGUCACCCCACCAGCCCAGGACUUCAUGGACUAGGCCUGGACUAGGGCCCCCGGUCCUCUGGCCUCACCUAGGGCCCUGUUCCACCUCCCUGUUCCAAGGCACAGAAACCCAGAGCUUUGGAGUCCUGUGCAGCUGAAGGUCAUGCCACAGCUGAGCAGUAGCAGCACUAGUUCCUGAGUGUCUGAGCCUCUUACUCACCCGGAGAUCCCAUGGCCUCGCUGCAAGAAAUACAGACAUUUCCAGGCAGUGGGGCAACUCUGCCUGGCUUUCUAUCCAAGCCUUCCCCAGCCAUGCAGAGAAAGCACCCCUUCAUCUUCCUAAGGAAUCUUCUAGAAAUGGGCAGAGUCAUGUGCUUUUAAUUCAGACAUGACAAUCACAUCCGAUUCCAAGGUUGUCAUUUGAGAACAGCCAAUGCGUUCACAUAUCCAGAGAGCAGAUCGUAAAGACGGUACCAAGCGCCCAUCUGGACAACUGCAGCAGUAUGGAGUGGGGCAAGCUUGUGAUGGGCGUCGUAGCGCUGGGCCGGCACCCGAAGCAAGCUUUCUCUUCUACUGUUUGAAAUACAGCUGGAGAGCUGAAAUCAUAUUAGGGUCAACUGGCUUCUCGUUCAAGAUAAACACUUUUUUUUUUUUUGGUACCAACUUAGUUCAGGUUUCUGAAGCCAAGUCAGGGAAGGCGUCGUCGGUCUAAUGAAUUCCAGCUCAUCCGGGGCUUCCCGUGACAAGUCAUUCAUCACGGAACCUCUUCAAAGCACAGAGGAAACACUGAAGGCAUAAAGUGCCCUUUCCAUUUUAACAACCCCCACCGGCCACUCUAUCACUGUCAAGUAAGAUCUUGGAAAUUAUCACCAAGAAUAAAGGGA